RNAcentral lists this long non-coding RNA (2585 nucleotides) under Fragaria vesca (wild strawberry). RNAcentral describes it as "long non-coding RNA (FVES_LNC001708)". The record is from RNAcentral. Lineage: Eukaryota; Viridiplantae; Streptophyta; Magnoliopsida; Rosales; Rosaceae.
UCAAAAGUCAAACCGGGUCAGAUAAAAAUGGCGAGUUCUCCAGCCUCCCCACUCCAAUGCCUCUCCACCUUCAAAAGCACAACCGUCCUCGCCAAUCCCCCUUCCUCUUCGGCAUUGCCACCGAUCCCAUUUUCUCCGCCUUCCUUCUCCUCCACCUCCGUCUCCUCCGCCGCCCGCUCCUCUUGCUCUCACGUCUCCACCGCCGAGAAGCUCCAGCACGCCAUCUGCCUCCUUGAGGACAUAAGCUGCCACAGAGUUCACAAUAUUCAUACCCCAUGCUUUUACAUCAGAAACUAGCGACUUCUUUUCCUUCUCCAUUCCCAAUCUCAAGUCUCAACCAACAGAAACCCCAAAACCCAAAACCCUGCUUCUCUCUUUCCCAUUCUAGAUCUUUCCUUUUAGGUUUUUCCCAAUUUAUAAAACAAAGGGAGGUAGCGACAAAGUGCAAGUUAUGCAAGCACUCACUCACCUCCGACAGAGAGAAGAGAGAGACCCAGCAACAACCCUCAAAUCUUGCCCAUCACCAAAAUCCAAUAAUCCCAUAUCGAAAUUCAAGGCCGAAAGACAAGCACCUCCAAUAUGCAAUCUGAGCCCGAUCUCACAAAGUCGCUGUCCAAGCCCGCUCUUUGAUCCCGAUGUCGCCUCCCCCAUAAAUGUGAUAGAACCAGACUUCGUCAGUUUUUUGACUAUAAUAUAAAAGUAAGCUCAGUUAUAAUCCACUAAAUAGAUGACUCAUGUUUUGCCACGUGUCACUUACAAGGCUGGUACACUUGCACCUUGGUGCAUACCAGAACUUUCGCCUUAAGGUUGUUUUAUGAUUAACUCACAUAAUAAAGAAGGUGUGUGAAUAGCAAAAUAGGGUGUGCUAAUAGUGUUGGGAUUAGUGUCUAUCCCUCUAUGGUGGAGAUAUUUUGCACGUGUCACUUAAAAGGCUGGUACACUUGCACCUUGGUGCUAAUAGUGUUGGGUUUAGUGCCUAUCCCUCUAUGGUGGAGAUAUUUUGCACGUGUCACUUAAAAAACUGGUACACUUGCACCUUGAUGCAUACCAGAACUUUCGCCUUAAAGUUGUUUUAUGAUUGACUCACAUAAUAAAAAAGGUAUGUGAAUAACAAAAUAAGGUGUGCUAAUAGUGUUGGGUUUAGUGCCUAUCUCUCUAUGGUGAAGAUAUUUUUCAUGGUAUGAAUGCAUGAUGAUUAUGGUUUGUGCAUUCAUGGUGGCUAACUUAUGCAUAGUAAUUGAUGCAUAAUUAAGUGCAUGUAUUGGACAUAAAUACAUGAUGAAGUUGAUGCAUUGGGAAUAAAUGCAUGGUGUAGUUCAUGAUGUGUCUCUUAGCCUUCAUAGGGAGUUAAGGAGGGAGAUUGAAGGUUGGUUCAUGAAUGGUCUUCCUAUGGAGUUAAUGAGGAAGAUGAAUGAAUGGUCAUUGAUAGGGUAAGUGUAAGAGACUUAUAUCAAUGGUAUAAAUAGAUGAAGCUUGUGUGGAAGUAAGACAACGAGAGAACACAACAAGAGAGGGAGAACUCUAAGGGACUUCAAGACGUAGAAGAUAUGGAGAGUUGUGUUCAAAGGCGUGUAUAGCUUUAGAGAGUUGUGUUCAAGGAUGAGUGUAGCUCUUGAGAGUUGUGUUCAAGAGCAUGUAUAACUCUUGGUGUAGAGUGGUCUUCUAGGUUGAGAGACGGUGUACAAUAGUGUAUCCUUUUGGAUAAAAUAGUGUAUCUUUUUGGUUAGGUAUAAACUUGAGCGGUGUAUUAUGUACUUGUGUUAUUCUCUCAUUGUGAAGAUGAAAGCUCUCCGAGGACGUAUGCAAGGAAAUUGGCCGAACCUUGUUAAAUCUUGUUGUUUGCUUGGCUUAGUUGAUUAUUUCUUCUUUCCAUCUCUACUACUAUUACUUGCAUGGCGAGAGGAUUAAUUUCCUAACAAAUAUAUAGCACCACCCUUUUUUUAUGCUACUUAAUUUGCAUAUAUAUGUCUGCUUCUUCCAUUUUGUUGCUUUCCCUUGUUCCUAUGCGUACCAAGUGGAAAGCUCCAACUCACGGUAUGUUUAAGCUUAAUUGUGAUGCCUCUGUUGGUAGUAAUGGUGAAUGGGUGGGUCUUGGUGGUGUGGUGUGUGGGAGUGAUGGGAAUUUAUUAAUGGCUUUUGGAGAGAGAGUGGCUGGCAGGUAUAGUCCUUAUGUAGCAGAACUACAAGCUAUUAUUCAGGGACUUGAGAUGUUAGUUGAUAGGGGAUGGACUCAUGUCAUUGUUGAGUCUGAUUGUACAGAGGCUGUGAGCAUGAUUAAUGGGGAUAUGAAGAGGGUUUUGCUUUUGCUCAUAAAUGGGUACGUCUUGAUUGAAAAGGCAAAAUUGUUGCUAGAGUCCCUUAGCUUGGAGUGCAUCUUCUUUGUUCUUCGCGAUGGUAAUGGUGUAGCCCAUGAAAUUGCAAAUAAGGUAGCCUGGUUAGAGGGGCGUCAUGUUUGGUUAGGGGUUGAGCCCGAUUAACUCAUGGAUGUCAUCAAUGGUGAUAGACCCGUAACAUUUUCUAGUAAAUAGGGAAGCGUGUGGAACAUCUUUGGUAUCAGCCGAUAGUAUAUAUAUAUAUAUAUAUAU